This 360-nucleotide ribosomal RNA is filed under the name uncultured bacterium. RNAcentral describes it as "bacterial SSU rRNA". It matches the Rfam family "Bacterial small subunit ribosomal RNA", at positions 63 to 414 of the family's 1533-position model. The record is from RNAcentral.
CUAUCUGGAAAGAGACUUCGGUCAAUGGAAGGAUAGCCUAGUGGCGGACGGGUGAGUAACGCGUGAGUAACCUGCCUAGGAGUGGGGAAUAACAGUCCGAAAGGAUUGCUAAUACCGCAUAAUGCAGUUGGGUCGCAUGGCCCUGACUGCCAAAGAUUUAUCGCUCUUAGAUGGACUCGCGUCUGAUUAGCUAGUUGGCGGGGUAAAGGCCCACCAAGGCGACGAUCAGUAGCCGGACUGAGAGGUUGGCCGGCCACAUUGGGACUGAGAUACGGCCCAGACUCCUACGGGAGGCAGCAGUGGGGAAUAUUGGGCAAUGGGCGAAAGCCUGACCCAGCAACGCCGCGUGAAGGAAGAAGG